CAAUAGCGUAUAUUAAAGUUGUUGCAGUUGGAACGCUCGUAGUCGGAUUUCGGGGCGGGCCGACCGGUCUGCCGAUGGGUACGCACUGGUCGGCGCGUCCUUCCUUCCGGAGACCGUUCCUACUCUUAACUGAGCGGGGGCGGGAGACGGAUCGUUUACUUUGAAAAAAUCAGAGUGUUUCAAGCAGGCAGCUCGCUCUUGCAUGGAUUAGCAUGGGAUAAUGAAAUAGGACUUUGGUGCUAUUUUGUUGGUUUCGAACACCGAAGUAAUGAUUAAAAGGGACAGUCAGGGGCACUCGUAUUCCGCCGAGAGAGGUGAAAUUCUCAGACCAGCGGAAGACGAACUACUGCGAAAGCAUUUGCCAGGGAUGUUUUCACUGA
This 380-nucleotide ribosomal RNA is filed under the name uncultured eukaryote. RNAcentral describes it as "partial 18S ribosomal RNA". It matches the Rfam family "Eukaryotic small subunit ribosomal RNA", at positions 592 to 976 of the family's 1831-position model. The record is from RNAcentral.